UACGUAGGGACCGAGCGUUGUCCGGAAUCAUUGGGCGUAAAGAGCGUGUAGGCGGCUAUUUAAGUCCUGCGUGAAAUCCUGCGGCUCAACCGCAGACGGUCGUGGGAAACUGGAUGGCUAGAGUGCGGGAGAGGAGAGUGGAAUUCCCGGUGUAGCGGUGAAAUGCGCAGAUAUCAGGAGGAACACCGGUGGCGAAGGCGGAUCUCUGGGCCGUAACUGACGCUGAGGAGCGAAAGCAUGGGGAGCGAACAGG
This 253-nucleotide ribosomal RNA is filed under the name uncultured bacterium. Its description in RNAcentral is "partial 16S ribosomal RNA". It matches the Rfam family "Bacterial small subunit ribosomal RNA", at positions 524 to 776 of the family's 1533-position model. The record is from RNAcentral.